GAUGAACGCUGGCGGCGUGCCUAAUACAUGCAAGUCGAGCGAACAGACGAGGAGCUUGCUCCUUUGACGUUAGCGGCGGACGGGUGAGUAACACGUGGAUAACCUACCUAUAAGACUGGGAUAACUUCGGGAAACCGGAGCUAAUACCGGAUAACAUGUUGAACCGCAUGGUUCAACAGUGAAAGACGGUCUUGCUGUCACUUAUAGAUGGAUCCGCGCCGCAUUAGCUAGUUGGUAAGGUAACGGCUUACCAAGGCAACGAUGCGUAGCCGACCUGAGAGGGUGAUCGGCCACACUGGAACUGAGACACGGUCCAGACUCCUACGGGAGGCAGCAGUAGGGAAUCUUGCGCAAUGGGCGAAAGCCUGACGGAGCAACGCCGCGUGAGUGAAGAAGGUCUUCGGAUCGUAAAACUCUGUUAUUAGGGAAGAACAAAUGUGUAAGUAACUAUGCACGUCUUGACGGUACCUAAUCAGAAAGCCACGGCUAACUACGUG
This 497-nucleotide ribosomal RNA is filed under the name uncultured bacterium. Its description in RNAcentral is "partial 16S ribosomal RNA". It matches the Rfam family "Bacterial small subunit ribosomal RNA", at positions 28 to 507 of the family's 1533-position model. The record is from RNAcentral.